Molecule: ribosomal RNA, 331 nt
Filed under: uncultured bacterium
Lineage: Bacteria
Description: bacterial SSU rRNA
Rfam family: Bacterial small subunit ribosomal RNA
Source: RNAcentral
AGGGUUCGAUUAUGGCUCAGGACGAACGCUGGCGGCGCGCCUAACACAUGCAAGUCGAACGAGAGAUGAGGAGCUUGCUCUUCAAAUCGAGUGGCGAACGGGUGAGUAACGCGUGAGGAACCUGCCUCAAAGAGGGGGACAACAGUUGGAAACGACUGCUAAUACCGCAUAAGCCCACGGCUCGGCAUCGAGCAGAGGGAAAAGGAGUGAUCCGCUUUGAGAUGGCCUCGCGUCCGAUUAGCUAGUUGGUGAGGUAACGGCCCACCAAGGCGACGAUCGGUAGCCGGACUGAGAGGUUGAACGGCCACAUUGGGACUGAGACACGGCCCAG